RNAcentral lists this ribosomal RNA (261 nucleotides) under uncultured bacterium. RNAcentral's name for it is "partial 16S ribosomal RNA". It matches the Rfam family "Bacterial small subunit ribosomal RNA", at positions 1231 to 1500 of the family's 1533-position model. The record is from RNAcentral.
UGGUGGUAACAAAGUGAAGCGACCCCGCGAGGGCAAGCCAACCACAGAAAAGCCAUCUCAGUUCGGAUUGUAGUCUGCAACCCGACUACAUGAAGCUGGAAUCGCUAGUAAUCGCAGAUCAGAAUGCUGCGGUGAAUACGUUCCCGGGUCUUGUACACACCGCCCGUCAAGCCAUGGGAGCCGGGGGCGCCUGAAGUCCGGGACCGCGAGGACCGGCCUAGGGCGAAACUGGUAACUGGGGCUAAGUCGUAACAAGGUAUC